RNAcentral lists this non-coding RNA (228 nucleotides) under Anaerovibrio lipolyticus. Its description in RNAcentral is "T-box sequence". It matches the Rfam family "T-box leader". From Rfam's summary of the family: Uncharged tRNA acts as the effector for transcription antitermination of genes in the T-box leader family. T-boxes are found upstream of many aminoacyl-tRNA synthetase genes and some amino acid biosynthetic genes usually in Gram-positive bacteria. The record is from RNAcentral. Lineage: Bacteria; Bacillati; Bacillota; Negativicutes; Selenomonadales; Selenomonadaceae.
GAAAAGGCAUUGAGCGAGAGAAGUAAUCAGCAGAGCUUUUCAGAGAGCUGUGGGUUGGUGCAACACAGCAAGUGAAACUGACGAAAUACACUCGUGAGCUACAGGCUGAACUGGUAGUAGGCCUUGUCGGAAGCCCCCGUUAUCGUAGGCUAGGGUAUGUUAGUACCCGAAGAGAGUGGCUUGCCAAGGCAAGCAGGGUGGUACCGCGAGUGAUGACUCGUCCCUGUU